Molecule: long non-coding RNA, 7375 nt
Filed under: Eucalyptus grandis
Lineage: Eukaryota; Viridiplantae; Streptophyta; Magnoliopsida; Myrtales; Myrtaceae
Description: long non-coding RNA (EGRA_LNC005348)
Source: RNAcentral
GUUACCGGAUUUAUCUGCAAAGACUAAUGGAACAAUGGCGUGUGAUCGUGAUCACUGUUGGCUGUGAUGGAUGUUCUGCGAUCAUUAGAGUGGGUUGUAAUUUCUCUUAUCUUCUGUUUCUCUGGACCAUACACCAACUUGGUUGCCAUGGCCAGUUGGUUUUUACUAUUGUGAUGGUCCAAGUUCUAAAUGGAGAGAGGUUUUUAAACCUCGUUUAAAGCAUAUGACUGGACAUGGUGGUUCUGUUUCUUUUUUUAUUUCAUCUCUAGUCAAGUCCCUCUCCUCUGAUCAGGACCACAACAGUCAUUCGAAGCUUGAGAACGUAAGUCCCUUAUCUUUUUGGUUUGUGUGACACGACGAUAGCAGAUCAAAACAUAGACAACAGUGGAAAAGUGACAAUAUUGAACCUGGAUUUGCUAAUGUAAUUGAACACAGUUGGAAUUUCUAAUACAAUCAACCAUAGCUGAAUUUGCCAAACAAUGGAGCAUAGUUUUAGUUUAUUUGCAUCAUAACAUUGGUCUUCUCUAGUGUCAUGGGUUUGAUUGAUCUAGCAUUCCUGGCCCUCCAAGUUAGCCUUACUCACUCACAAGUGGCUUUAAAGAGAGAAGCUCUAGAUUAUAUUUCACUUGUGAUUGAGAUGAUACAAUGAGGGGAGGAGGUUUAGAGAUCCCCUUUUGAUCUAUAUUAUAUUUCACUUGAGAUGAUACAAUGAGAGGGAGGAAGUUCCUACAUAUAAAGAUCCCCUCUUAAUCUAAUGGUGGAAAUUGCAUCUCCCUAACUACCAACUAUUAGUAUUUAUUACAUAUGUAUACAAUUAUCAUAUUUUAUUAUAUAGCCUGUUCCCAAGAGUGUCCUAGAAUAUUCAAGAAAACCCUAAGACUUCAGGAGAUAGGUUGAGGGUCGUUCGUUUAUGGAUUGAUCAUGGUCUUCAUUCGGAAAACCUCUGCAUCAUGUCAAUUCAUCAGGUUGUGUGACACCAGAAUCUACCUUCCACUGACACUGCCUAGAAGCAAAAAAGAAAGACAAACAACACCACAUUUCCAAUCCAACAUUGUUGCCAGUCCAAGGCAAUGGAAGUGGUGUUUUUUUUGUCCAACUUCAAAACCAGCAUUGCGCACAUCAAUCCCGCUCAAUACCACUGUGCCUCUCAAACGCAUUUUCCCUUUGCUUCCAGUUGAAAUGCUUCCACUUGUGUCCUUUUUUUUUUUUUUUUUUAAAUCGUUUACUCCUUUCUAGCUGCAUUUGGAGAAUGUGGGUUUCUCCUCAAAUACUUCAACUAACUUUUUUAUACUUUCAGUCUAUUUUCCAACACCUUCUGUUCAAUGAUCAAUCCACAAAUCGAUUCCCUGUCACGAGAUGAGGGCUUAUGAUCAAUCCAUUUGAAAAAACCGCAAUCACCAAUCUACCCAAUACAAGCAAGUAAUUUAGAUUACAGCACAAAAUAAUGCACAACACUAACACGGAACCGAACAAUUUGAUUGGUGAAUGGAACGACGUGAACUCGUAAUUGGAGAAUUCGGAGAUGGUUUUCAACGAAUGAAAACCAUCAACUUGUUACCCUCGGUCUCACGAAUAAUAUACUGAAAUUUGAGUCGAUUCCGUCAAUAUUUGACAUUCGAAAAUUAUAGCCCUCUUCUUUUCUUCUCUUCUCCUUUACUUUUACAGUUUUUGUUUUCUCUUUUUUCUAUUUCUCUUUUUUCUAUUCACGUUUUAGAUGCACACUAGGGUGUCAGGUUUACUUUUACGGUUUUUGUUUUCUCUUUUUUCUUUUUAUGUUUUAGAUGAAUACUAGGGUGUGAGUGUACCUGAGUUGAAAACCGAACUAAGCAAAAUUUUUCGAUUCGAUUCUCGUUAAAAGCCUGCCAAGACAGAAGAUGGAGAGAUAGGUCACCCCAUGGACAUCAAUAUACCGGACAAUGUCAUGGAGGAUCCAGAACCCGAGUCGGUUGGGUUCGGGGUGUAUGUGACCUGCCUCAGUGUCUAGGCGAAAGGUCAAGCUAGGGCUGCCCCCGGCCACCUUGAGAAUCCCCCUCUACAUACCCGACCGCCCAUGGUCCAAUAUGGAUGGGGAAAAUCGAGAAACCAGAGAGACCAACAGAGUUGCGAUUAAUAUUUUUUUAUUGGUUCGUUUUGAUCACCAACCCACAAACCGAUAAAAUUAAACAAUUAAAAAUUCGGUUUUUAUUUCCCUCGACGACCGGACCUCCCCACAUCGUAAACCCGUAAUCUCUCUCUCUAGUUUCUCCCUCUCUCUCUCUAGCUCGCUCGCCCGCUUGCUAGCGAUUGACGGCGCUCGCUCGCUCGCCAGCUUCCGUUUUUCUCUCCGGCGAUCUCGGCAUGUAAGGCUCUGAACCUCGAUCGUCCAUCGAGACAUCGUGGAUUUCCCUCCGCUUUCUGUCCUUUUAGGGUUUUUCGACGACGCUUGCUCGCGAUUGACGGCGCUCGCUCGCCAGCUUCCGUUUUUCUCUCCGGCGAUCUCGGCAUGUAAGGCUCUGAACCUCGAUCGUCCGUCGAGACGCCGUCGAUUUCCCUCUGCUUUCUGUCCUUUUAGGGUUAUUCGACGACGCUUGCUCGCGAUUGACGGCGCUCGCUCGCCGGCUUCCGUCUUUCUCUCCGGCGCUCUCGGCAUGUAAGGCUCUGAACCUCCAUCGUCCGUCAACACGCCGUCGAUUUCCCUCUGCUUUCUGUCCUUUUAGUUUUUCGAGUCGUCGUCGUUCAUUUUUUAGUCAUUUGUACCUCCUCUUUUUCUUUUUUCUCUUUUUUGAAUUUUUUGUGAAUUUUUCUCGGUCGAGAUUGCUGUUUUGCUCUGUCCGGACGUCGUUUUCUAGCAGCAGCGAGUUUCGACCUCACAUUUUUUCUCUUUUGUUUUGUUUUUUUUUUCCUUUCGACUUUGUCCGUCGUUUUUCGCGCGUGAGAUUUCGGAUGCCAUUUGCUCUGAAUUUGCUUUUGCCGACGAGGUGCUUGCGAUUCGGAAUCUGUUUCAUCGUUCUGUUUUCGGGUCGUGCCGAUCAUUUUCUGUGCAGGCAUGUACCGGCCGCAUCUCAUGAAUUAUCGACGGAAUAGCUUGGCUUGGCUGUAGCAUGGCUGAUUCGGCUUUUUUUAUAUGGCUUGUUGGGGCUUUUGCUUGAGAUCGCAUACUUGGCUUUUGUUUUGUUUCUUUCGGUUUUUAAAACGCCUCACUGAGAAUUUAAAAAAAGAAAGAGAAAAAAAAAAACCGAAAAUCAAAAACUGAAAAUCAAAAAUCAAAAAAUCGAAUCGAACCAAUACUCCUAAUGACCAUCACUUUCACUUCUUUUUGUUAUUUUAUUUUAUUUUAUAUUAUUUAAUGCUAGUUGGGCCGAAGGUGGACCCAGCUAACAGAUUCCACGUGCUGCAUGGCGCCACGUGUCAAUAUAAAAUGCCAAAAAACACGCCGUGAAUGAUCGAUGGUGGUCUGAAAAGCACGAGAUAUUUUCUGGUCCGGAUGAGAAAGGGUAGGGUAGGAUGAGAUGAGAACAGCCACCAUGAUUUUUUUUUUUUUUUGGGUCGGUUCUAUUCUAAUCUUAUUCUAAUACUCACUCUCAGACUUUUAUUCUGCCUUAUUGUAAAGUGUAUAAAAUCAUUCUCACCCAAAUCCCUAUGAGAAGGUGGGGAUUUGAACCUCUACCUCUUCCUUCUAAGUUGUAAGGGUGGUCACGGGAGAGAAGAAAGAUUGGUAGAGAGAGAAGGAGACACACGUGGCUUUUCUCUUCAUGAAGGGGGCGGUGCAUGGUAUGUCCCACUAACCCCCCAUCUGAAGAGUGGCCGAGCCCCACUUCCCUCCCUUCUCCCUUUCCUUCGGCCACAGCCCUUAGCGAGCCGAGGAGACGCGAAGGUCGAAGAACUGCGACUUCCAGUUCCUGGAGCUGCGAUCUGCGGCUCCAUAAAUGGCGAAGUCGUAGCAAUAAUGGAGUGAAUUGGACCUUUCCUGACAUGAAGCUGACAUUUUCUGUUCGCUUUAGUGGUUUCAUUGCUUUUUUAUGUUGACAUGCUGAUUUUGUCGAGAGAUAUAUAUAUGAAUAUGAAUGUUUAAGAUGAUGAACUUGAAAGUAGGGACAUCUAUGUGGCAUUCAUGCUCUUCGGAACCUUUGGAUUGCAUUCUCACACUCCGGUAAUUAUUAACUGCAGCUGCUUGUUUCCUUCUUAAAAUCACCCCUCCUUGCUGCUGCUUUUGCGAAGAAAAUGAGUCGACUAGCACUCUCCGGGCUUCAACUAGCACCCUCUGUGCUUCCAGCUGGGGCGCUGGUUAUUGUUUUCUUCUAUCCACAAUCUCUUACGACAGGCAUCCUUUCAUUGGUGCACAGGGUACGUACUUUUGGCUUUUGCACCUGGGUUAAUUUUUUUGUUCUUUUUUUUUUAACUCCAGUCCCUUAAUAACCGUCGCAUUUAGUUUUACCUUUUGCUUGAUAUAAAUCGUGUGGCUCGUGCAUUUUGCUUUUUUUUUUUUUUUUUCAAAUAUAGACUCUGGAAACCUCCUCAAUACUCAAGUUUUGACAUGUAGAUUCACAUUAUAAUUUUCUGAGAUCCUAAUAAUGUUUUAAAGUUUGGAAGCAAACGAACAUUUCUUAUUCUUUGAUCCAAUGUGUGUGCUAUGCAUACAAUCUCACCAGCUCUGCGGUGAGUGGUUUUAUAAGUUCCCUGAAAUAUUUUGGAACUCUUUUUACCUCCUCCUACGAUUCUUUUAUUCCAACCCCACUUUGGGAGAAAAUGGCUUCACCAUAUUCGGAUAUACUACCUCUUAAUAAUUGACCUAAAGACAUUUUGUACCGUCUAGUGAGAAAGGAUGGAUUGUAGGGUUGGUGCUUAUCUAUUUUGUCUGAGCUGCAUUUUUGGCAGCAGAUAUAUUUUUUAUUUUGGUUAAAUGUUGGCUCUAUUGGUUGUGUUAAGAUAGUGAUAUGUAUAAGAAAGGCAUUAAGGGUGCAUUUUCCGGAAAAUCAACUUUCAGGAAAGUAGAUAAUUUUCUUUUGUUUGGUGAUAUAUGGUUAAAAAUGUUUUUUGGUGUUUGGAUAUCAUUUGGCAAGUGAUUUUAUUUCAUGACAAAAUAAAAAAUAAAAAAAUUCAAAUAAUUUUUAUUUUUAUUAUAUAUAUAUAUAUAUAUAUAUUUUUUUUUUUUCCCCUUCCGCUGAUCACUGAGGGUCGGGCUCGCCUAAGGCCUGCUGGCCUAAGAAUAAGAAGGAAAAUGAGAAAAAUAGUUAAAAGAAAAAGAAAAAGAAAAUAAAAAUAUCAAACAUUUUCAGCGUAAAAGUGCGAAACAUUAAUUUCAUCCUAAAAAUUUACUUUAAGAAGCACGUAAGUCGUAAAGGUAAGGUCGCCAAUUGGGGCUUGUGCCAUUCUUUCCAGGUACGCGUGACAUAUUUUAUUAUUAUAAAAAAUAAUCUUUGUCUUGAAGGAGGAGUCCAGUAAAAAAACGGCGACCAGGAGUCUUUUACAACCCCAUCGUCUACUCCGCCUCCUCCUCCUCCUCCUCCUCCUGGCCUCCCUGCUCUCGGCGACCGUCCCCGUGGCUCUCGGCGAGGUUGGCACAGCUUCGUACUAUGGCCCUCCCUAUGAUCGUAAGUCUCGAACCCCCCCUAAUAACAAGAAGAAGAGAAGGAGAAAAGAGCUUUGCCAUAUAAACCUUUUUCUUGCCCUUGAUUCAGGGACGGAGUGCUACGGCGAGGGCUCAUCCCAGUUCCUGGAAAGCAACCUGUUCGCGGCCGUGGGCGACGGACUAUGGGACCUUGGGGCGGCGUGCGGCAGGGAGUACGAGGUGCGGUGCAUCAGCAAGGCGCAGUCUGGCCCUGGACACUGCAAACCCGGCGCCAGCACUAUCCGGGUCAAGGUCGUUGACUACGCCCUCUCGGUUGAGUCCUCCGCCGCCGCCCCCAGGCAGUCCGUGACCGGCGCUGAUUUGGUCCUGUCUCAGGCCGCAUUCGAAGCUAUUGGCAAUCCGUUCGUGGAUUCGAUCAGCGUGGAGUUCAAGGAGUUAUAGCAAGAUUGGAGUCUACACUGUCGAAGUGGAUCUUUGCAGAGAUGUUCCCUCCUUGUCGCUGAUUUUAAGUUUUAGAAAAAAAGCUACCAAAGAUCAUAGAUUAUAGCAAUGCCUCGGAUUCGUAUCCGUUUGGGACAUUUUUACUAUCUGUUCUGAUGUCGAUGAGUAUCGUUAAAAAUUCUACAUGACGGCUAAGUGGACGAUGGAAUGCAAAUGGUACUAACGCGGCGCUCAUAUGGAGUAAGUGAAAGAGGAACUGUUUUCCUUUUAUAUUAAUGGAAUGUUGCCGUGUUCUUCAUCUCUUUUUGUUUUGGGGUUUAGGGUUCUUCAUAGAAGUCGGUUGCUCUACAUCUCUCUUGGUUGCUCCACUAUAACUAGACAAAAUAUUGAUUGCUCAUGGGAAGUAGCAAAAUUCAUGGCUAAAAAAUCACUCCCUGCCUGAUUUGUAGCUGAACUCUCUCUGCCACGAUUGAUGAUUUGGGGUCUAGGGUUCUUCCUUGAUUUCUUGAAACCUACGAUUGCUUCAGAGAAGAAACUUGAUUCGAUUAUUCAAAGCCAUCAUAUUCUUGGCGUUCUCGAUUCAUCAACAACCUAACGAGUUUUUUUUUUUGGUUGAUGUGGGUGUACCUUGAUUUCCUUGUUAGGCUACUAUAGUGAUUCUGAAUUCCAACCUUGCUCUUUCCCGAUUCACUUGGUGAUUGUUUCGAGAGUUGAACUUUUGAGCUGAUUUGCAGCAUCUUUAGGCUUUAUGCUUCUAGUAUAAAAUGUAAGCUGUCGAGACGUGGGCAGCAAAAAUAAAACUAAAAGGACUUUUUAGUUCCUAAAUCUCAUGGUUUAAGUAAGUGGAGUGCAGCUAAGCAAACAAAAGGCUUUGAAUGAAUAUUUAGAUGCGAUCCCUAUUCAUUCUACUGUUUCUGAAAUGAAUUGUUCUACGUGAUAUUAGCCACAUCCAAUUUUCUGCGAUUUGAUGUUUCUUGUGCAAUCUGUGUAUAGCUUAUUGAGUUUGGUGAAUUGAUACUUAUCUCUUGCGUAGAUUCACUUGAGCUUGCUCCAUGCUNNNNNNNNNNNNNNNNNNNNNNNNNNNNNNNNNNNNNNNNNNNNNNNNNNNNNNNNNNNNNNNNNNNNNNNNNNNNNNNNNNNNNNNNNNNNNNNNNNNNGCAAAGACUAAUGGACAACGGCGGGUGAUUGCGAUCACUGUUGGCUGUGAUGGAUGUUCUGUGAUCAUUAGAGUGGGUUGUAAUUUCCUCUUUUCUUCUGUUUCUCUGGACCAUACACCAACUUGGUUGCUAAUGGCCAGUUGGUUUUUAACGUUGUAAUGAUCCAAGUUCUAAAUGGAGAGAGGUUUUUAAGCCUCGUUUAAAGCAUAUGACUGGAGAUGGUGGUUCC